AAGUACUGGGGGAUUUUAAAUUGCAGUUUUAAACAGCAUAAUCUUGGAGACUAAAACUCCAGUUCUUCAGUGAGCCGAUUGAUCCUCAUCCUACAACUAGAGUAGGGGAUGCUGUGAGCCCAUGGUCAUGGAUGCUGUUAGCUUCCCCAUUUUACAAACGAGAAACACAGAAGAGAACAAAAGAAGAAAAGAAACAUCAUAGAGCUAACAAUUAAUUGAGACAUACUGAACAGAUCCCAUCCAACAAGGAAAGGCCUCUGAUCAUUGAUUCACUAAGAUGACAUGGGAGAGGCCACCUCUGACCCAGGCCUGCUGAAGU
Molecule: long non-coding RNA, 319 nt
Organism: Dipodomys spectabilis (banner-tailed kangaroo rat)
Lineage: Eukaryota; Metazoa; Chordata; Mammalia; Rodentia; Heteromyidae
Exons: 3
Source: RefSeq, a predicted model, not a curated record